AACAAUUAUACUACGACCCGACACGCCCCCUCCCUCUCUCCAUCAACCCUUCUCCCGUUCCCCAAAUCUCUCGACCUCGGAGCAGCCAUGACUCAUAUCCUUCACCGCGAAUAAAAUCGCCUUCUCUGUUCAUCUAAUUUUCGUUGAUUCUUGUCAAGAAUUGGCCGGAUUAUUACUUUAUAUCUGUUACCGUGUGCGAGUGUGUUGUGUUUUGGUUGGAUCUGUCCGUGUUGUUCCUUGACCUUGCUGGCGGCUGCACGCGGCGACCAGAGGGAGCGGGACCGGCAGCGGGCGCAGGCGCGGAAGCCGGGGACCAAGGGCCGCGACGACGGGCUCACGCCGGAGCAGCGACGAGAGAGGGACGCCAAGGCGCUGCAGGAGAAGACCGCCAAGAAGGCGGCGCAGGCCACGCAGGGGGCCGACGACGCCAAGAAGAAGAACGCCGCCGGCAAGAAAUAGUAGUUCGGAUCCGUUCUGUCUGUCUCAUGAAGUGGAGAGAUGUUCUGAUGUAGAAUUUCUGUGCGAUGUGGUUGCGCUCGGCUUGUAGCACAAUUCUUUCGGCGCCUCCAGAUCAGGCCCCUGUUGUUGAUGCGUAAUUCGUGGAUCUUUAAUGCAAUGCGAUCAAUUUGGUCGUUACAUCCUCUUCUCAUCCGAAAUUGUCCGGAAUUCCUGACCAGCGUUUUGUAGCUUUUGUCUCACGUUGUCUGACUUGUGCAG
Molecule: long non-coding RNA, 717 nt
Filed under: Triticum aestivum (bread wheat)
Lineage: Eukaryota; Viridiplantae; Streptophyta; Magnoliopsida; Poales; Poaceae
Description: long non-coding RNA (TAES_LNC023811)
Source: RNAcentral